ACGGAAUUCUUCGGGAUUUAGUGGCGGACGGGUGAGUAACGCGUGAGAAUCUGCCCUUAGGUUGGGGACAACAGUUGGAAACGACUGCUAAUACCCAAUGUGCCGAGAGGUGAAAGGUUAACUGCCUGGGGAUGAGCUCGCGUCUGAUUAGCUAGUUGGAGUGGUAACGGCACACCAAGGCGACGAUCAGUAGCUGGUCUGAGAGGAUGAUCAGCCACACUGGGACUGAGACACGGCCCAGACUCCUACGGGAGGCAGCAGUGGGGAAUUUUCCGCAAUGGGCGAAAGCCUGACGGAGCAAGACCGCGUGAGGGAGGAAGGCCUAUUGGUUGUAAACCUCUUUUGAUAGGGAAGAACACAAUGACGGUACCUAUCGAAUCAGCAUCGGCUAACUCCGUGCCAGCAGCCGCGGUAAUACGGAGGAUGCAAGCGUUAUCCGGAUUUAUUGGGCGUAAAGCGUCCGUAGGUGGCAAACCAAGUCAGUUGUUAAAGCGUAGAGCUUAACUCUAUAAGGGCAAUUGAAACUGGUUAGCUAGAGUGCGAUAGGGGCAAGGGGAAUUCCCAGUGUAGCGGUGAAAUGCGUAGAUAUUGGGAAGAACAUCGGUGGCGAANGCGCCUUGCUGGGUCUGCACUGACACUGAGGGACGAAAGCUAGGGGAGCGAAAGGGAUUAGAUACCCCUGUAGUCCUAGCCGUAAACGAUGGAUACUAGGCGUUGUCCGUAUCGACCCGAGCCGUGCCGAAGC
RNAcentral lists this ribosomal RNA (745 nucleotides) under cyanobacterium enrichment culture clone 4_10_4.3.5_E03-T7. RNAcentral describes it as "bacterial SSU rRNA". It matches the Rfam family "Bacterial small subunit ribosomal RNA", at positions 66 to 852 of the family's 1533-position model. Lineage: Bacteria; Bacillati; Cyanobacteriota. The record is from RNAcentral.